GCGACGCCUGCCCAGUGAAUAAUUAAACGGCCGCGGUAUCCUAACCGUGCAAAGGUAGCAUAAUCAUUUGUCUAUUAAUUGUAGACCUGUAUGAAAGGCUAAAUGAGAGUCCAACUGUCUCUUACAACAAAUCAAUAAAACUGAUCUCCUAGUACAAAAGCUAGAAUACUGACAUAAGACCAGAAGACCCUGUGAAGCUUUAAUAAACCCAUUAAACCAAAUAAUGCUUACUUUCGGUUGGGGCGACCUUGGAAUAAAAAAGAACUUCCAACAUAUGACCUCCUCAUAAAACUAAGGCAAACAAGCCAAUAUUAGAUCCAGCACCGCUGAUAAUUGAAAUAAGUUACUCCAGGGAUAACAGCGCUAUCUUCUUUAAGAGCCCAUAUCAAAAAGAAGGUUUACGACCUCGAUGUUGGAUCAGGACAUCCCAGUAAUGCAACCGUUACUAAAGGUUCGUUUGUUCAACGAUUAACAGUCCUACGUGAUCUGAG
RNAcentral lists this ribosomal RNA (491 nucleotides) under Trimeresurus sabahi buniana. RNAcentral's name for it is "partial 16S ribosomal RNA". It matches the Rfam family "Bacterial large subunit ribosomal RNA", at positions 1852 to 2609 of the family's 2925-position model. The record is from RNAcentral. Lineage: Eukaryota; Metazoa; Chordata; Lepidosauria; Squamata; Viperidae.